RNAcentral lists this long non-coding RNA (208 nucleotides) under Gossypium raimondii (Peruvian cotton). Its description in RNAcentral is "long non-coding RNA (GRAI_LNC001737)". The record is from RNAcentral. Lineage: Eukaryota; Viridiplantae; Streptophyta; Magnoliopsida; Malvales; Malvaceae.
UGUGAUACUGCAAUAUUGUUGUGCAUUAGGUAAGAACCAUCUGAGUGAAAAUAAGAUUGCUUGACUGAAAUAGUUUUACUUCUCGGAUUCAAUUACAACUCAGAUGGUAGUGUAUGGAUGAAUCAUAUGGGAAGAAUGCAGCAAAGGUUGGCAAUGAGACAAUAAUCUGAUGCUAAUUCAGUAUCCAUGGCCCUUGCCUGCCUGCACC